UCGACGGUAACAUUGAUGCUUGCAUCAGAUGACGAGUGGCGCACGGGUGAGUAACGCGUAUACAAUCUACCUUUUACAGGGGGAUAGCCUUUAGAAAUGAAGAUUAAUAUCCCAUAGUAAGUAGUUUUGGCAUCAAGACAACUUUAAAGUUUCGGCGGUAAAAGAUGAGUAUGCGUUCUAUUAGUUAGUUGGUAAGGUAACGGCUUACCAAGACCACGAUAGAUAGGGGCCCUGAGAGGGGGAUCCCCCACACUGGUACUGAGACACGGACCAGACUCCUACGGGAGGCAGCAGUGAGGAAUAUUGGACAAUGGGCGCGAGCCUGAUCCAGCCAUGCCGCGUGCAGGAAGACUGCCCUAUGGGUUGUAAACUGCUUUUAUACAGGAAGAAACCUUUUCACGUGUGAAAAGCUGACGGUACUGUAAGAAUAAGGAUCGGCUAACUCCGUGCCAGCAGCCGCGGUAAUACGGAGGAUCCAAGCGUUAUCCGGAAUCAUUGGGUUUAAAGGGUCCGUAGGUGGAUAAUUAAGUCAGGGGUGAAAGUUUGCAGCUCAACUGUAAAAUUGCCUUUGAUACUGGUUAUCUUGAAUUAUUGUGAAGUGGUUAGAAUAUGUAGUGUAGCGGUGAAAUGCAUAGAUAUUACAUAGAAUACCAAUUGCGAAGGCAGAUCACUAACAAUAUAUUGACACUGAUGGACGAAAG
Molecule: ribosomal RNA, 701 nt
Filed under: Winogradskyella sp.
Lineage: Bacteria; Pseudomonadati; Bacteroidota; Flavobacteriia; Flavobacteriales; Flavobacteriaceae
Description: bacterial SSU rRNA
Rfam family: Bacterial small subunit ribosomal RNA
Source: RNAcentral